Non-coding RNA from Paramisgurnus dabryanus, 1268 nucleotides. The record is from RefSeq and is a predicted model, not a curated record. Lineage: Eukaryota; Metazoa; Chordata; Actinopteri; Cypriniformes; Cobitidae.
GAGAUAGUGUUUGAUACAAUGUAGUCCACGUGCAGGCGUGGUAAUUUGGACAUUUAUAGACAACAAAACGAGUUUGUGAUUUCAUAAUCAUUUGAGGAGAUUUUAAAUUGUUGUAGUGAUUAUGUCAAUGUGUGAAUUUGCCAUGACGCGUGUGCUGUGCGUGCCGAACACGUGCCCUUUUUGGCUUGUUCGACUUCAUGCGGCGCUGCAAGAACCGACAGCUGUAUGACGUCAAAGUACCGCGAGAACGAUUCGAGAACUCAUACGAAGUGUAAUUUCGUCUCGCUCUCGCGGCACUUUAACGUCAUGCGUCUGUCAGUUCUAGCGGGGCCGCAGGCAGGAAGUCGAACAGCCGUCUUUCCCUCAAUACGGAUUACCAUGAGGUGGGACUGACGAAGCUCCUCUUUCACGGGUUUCUUUCCUGUUUUCAGGAGUGACCAAUAUAACCUCUAUAAUAGAAGAAAAGCUGAAGAUUUCAAAAUUUUCUGAAGGGAGCCACAGACAGAGAUGUAAACUCAGGCAGGUUGAGAGCAUAUUAACUCACUUUUUUCACAACAUAUUACCAUGCAUCUUGUCAUUUUUCUGCGUUUAUAGCAGUUAUUCCAGGAAGGUUUUAACAUCCAAACGUGAGUGGCACCAUAUGAGCAAUAUUAAAUGAACAAGUAAACCUAAAAACAUAGAUUCUGUUAUAUUUUGUAUACUUUAAUUUUCUUUUCUGUGUUUUACAUCCUUUUCAUCAAUAUUGAUUGCUUUGUGACAAAUUGCAUGUUAUGUUUGUAGAUUUUCCUUGCUGAUAUCCGUGCAGCAGAGUCAAAGCAGACCUGUCAGAAAACAUCUCUAAGUUGCUAUGAAUCUCAUAACUAGAUACACAUCAUGAGAUAACUAGAGCUUAUGGCUCUGUUUGGAUCCAGCCUCACUUGUGAAGAAUUCAGAUGACGUAAACACUCACAAAGACAUUAUAUGAUGGCAUCUAUAGAUGGACAUACACAACUGCCAAAUGUAACAUAUUGUAAUUACUGCACCAAAGCGCAACCCUACAGAUUUUCAACCCACUUAAUAUUUUUACAAAUACAAUAUAUGUUUAUAUUUGAAAAAAAUAUUCUUUAGCUAAUUUUACUGAUUUAUUUCCAUUUAUUUGUCCACAAUACUCUGCCAAAAUGAUGUUUUGCAUCAUCCAAAUAUUGUUAAUGUACAUAUUACAGACAUUGUAACAACACAAAGUGGGUUGAAAAAGUUUCUUCUUCUAAGUGCAGUAACUACGCAAACAC